Molecule: ribosomal RNA, 600 nt
Filed under: uncultured bacterium
Lineage: Bacteria
Description: bacterial SSU rRNA
Rfam family: Bacterial small subunit ribosomal RNA
Source: RNAcentral
CCAUGAUUCAGCGGCGGACGGGUGAGUAACGCCUAGGAAUCUGCCUGGUAGUGGGGGACAACGUUUCGAAAGGAACGCUAAUACCGCAUACGUCCUACGGGAGAAAGUGGGGGAUCUUCGGACCUCACGCUAUCAGAUGAGCCUAGGUCGGAUUAGCUAGUUGGUGAGGUAAAGGCUCACCAAGGCGACGAUCCGUAACUGGUCUGAGAGGAUGAUCAGUCACACUGGAACUGAGACACGGUCCAGACUCCUACGGGAGGCAGCAGUGGGGAAUAUUGGACAAUGGGCGAAAGCCUGAUCCAGCCAUGCCGCGUGUGUGAAGAAGGUCUUCGGAUUGUAAAGCACUUUAAGUUGGGAGGAAGGGCAGUAAGUUAAUACCUUGCUGUUUUGACGUUACCGACAGAAUAAGCACCGGCUAACUUCGUGCCAGCAGCCGCGGUAAUACGAAGGGUGCAAGCGUUAAUCGGAAUUACUGGGCGUAAAGCGCGCGUAGGUGGUUCGUUAAGUUGGAUGCGAAAGCCCCGGGCUCAACCUGGGAACUGCAUCCAAAACUGGCGAGCUAGAGUAUGGCAGAGGGUGGUGGAAUUUCCUGUGUAGCGG